GUCUAUGGCCAUACCACCCUGAACGCGCCGAUCUCGUCUGACCUCGGAAGCUAAGCAGGGUUGGGUCUGGUUAGUACUUGGAUGGGAGAAGUAUUUAUAUCAAUAAAGU
Molecule: ribosomal RNA, 109 nt
Filed under: Mustela putorius furo (domestic ferret)
Lineage: Eukaryota; Metazoa; Chordata; Mammalia; Carnivora; Mustelidae
Source: RNAcentral